CGGCGGACUAGGCCUGGAGGGCAGCAGUCUCCAAUCUCCAAACCUGCUUUAGGGAGGGCCGAACCCGGGGAGCGUUGCUUCUUGGGUCGCUGAGGCCUCGCGCCCAACGGUGAUCUCUUGUCCCGUUUGGUCACGCGCGGGUCGAACCGUGUCAGGCGGGGAACCGAGCAGCACUAAAACUCGCGCAGGACGCUUUCGGGAGCGCAGGAGAGAGGCAAGCCGAGACCACCCCAACGAUCCGGGGAGCGGCCACCCCCGAGCGUCUGCCA
RNAcentral lists this signal recognition particle RNA (269 nucleotides) under Microcaldota archaeon. RNAcentral describes it as "signal recognition particle sRNA". It matches the Rfam family "Archaeal signal recognition particle RNA". Lineage: Archaea; Nanobdellati; Microcaldota. The record is from RNAcentral.